GCACCACAAGCGCGUGGAGCAUGUGGCUUAAUUUGACUCAACACGGGAAAUCUUACCGGGUCCGGACAUACCGAGGAUUGACAGACUGUUAACUGCAACACAUGCUGCUAAGUUUUAAACUUAAUAGCUCUUUCAUGAUUAUAUGAUAGGUGGUGCAUGGCCGUUCUUAGUUCGUGGAGUGAUCUGUCUGCUUAAUUGCGUUUCAAAAUCUAAACCUGAGCGACAAGGUGCUGCUAUCAAAACUGUCUUUGAGUGUGAACUAUAAGUCUUUUGACUUAUGACCAUCACUCUAGACGUUUAUGUUUUGGUGUUGGCCCUUGAUGCUCAUUUGAACGCAACGGACGUGAUUGCAACCCCUUGUUGAGAUUUAUCCGAUCUCCUACGUUCACUGAACCACACUCUUUAGCGAGAGCAGUGGGGAUGUGGAUAAACUCGGGGGACUGCUGACUAUAAACUUUUCUCAAACCAGAGGAAGGUUGC
RNAcentral lists this ribosomal RNA (480 nucleotides) under Globigerinoides elongatus. Its description in RNAcentral is "SSU rRNA". It matches the Rfam family "Eukaryotic small subunit ribosomal RNA", at positions 1164 to 1448 of the family's 1831-position model. Lineage: Eukaryota; Foraminifera; Rotaliida; Globigerinidae. The record is from RNAcentral.